GUGAGGAAUAUUGCGCAAUGGAGGCAACUCUGACGCAGCCAUGCCGCGUGCAGGAAGAAGGCGCUACGCGUUGUAAACUGCUUUUAACCGGGAAGAAACCCCAGGACGUGUCCUGGGUUGACGGUACCGGAGGAAUAAGCACCGGCUAACUUCGUGCCAGCAGCCGCGGUAAUACGAAGGGUGCAAGCGUUAUCCGGAUUCAUUGGGUUUAAAGGGUGCGUAGGAGGAGCGUUAAGUCAGUGGUGAAAUCCUGCAGCUUAACUGUAGACUUGCCAUUGAUACUGGCGCUCUUGAGUGCGCUUGAAGUGGGCGGAAUGUGCCGUGUAGCGGUGAAAUGCUUAGAUAUGGCACAGAACACCAAUUGCGAAGGCAGCUCACUAAGGCGAUACUGACGCUGAGGCACGAAAGCGUGGGGAUCGAACAGGAUUAGAUACCCUAGUAGUCC
RNAcentral lists this ribosomal RNA (445 nucleotides) under uncultured bacterium. Its description in RNAcentral is "bacterial SSU rRNA". It matches the Rfam family "Bacterial small subunit ribosomal RNA", at positions 354 to 796 of the family's 1533-position model. The record is from RNAcentral.